GGCGAAGCUACCAUCUGUGGGAUUAUGACUGAACGAAGGUGGUUUUCCCAGGGCGAGGCUUAUCCAUUGCACUCCGGAUGUGCUGACCCCUGCGAUUUCCCCAAAUGUGGGAAACUCGACUGCAUAAUUUGUGGUAGUGGGGGACUGCGUUCGCGCUUUCCCCU
RNAcentral lists this small nuclear RNA (164 nucleotides) under Macaca mulatta (Rhesus monkey). RNAcentral's name for it is "U1-1 snRNA". It matches the Rfam family "U1 spliceosomal RNA". From Rfam's summary of the family: U1 is a small nuclear RNA (snRNA) component of the spliceosome (involved in pre-mRNA splicing). Lineage: Eukaryota; Metazoa; Chordata; Mammalia; Primates; Cercopithecidae. The record is from RNAcentral.